RNAcentral lists this ribosomal RNA (467 nucleotides) under uncultured bacterium. Its description in RNAcentral is "partial 16S ribosomal RNA". It matches the Rfam family "Bacterial small subunit ribosomal RNA", at positions 28 to 506 of the family's 1533-position model. The record is from RNAcentral.
GACGAACGCUGGCGGCGUGCUUAACACAUGCAAGUCGAACGGAAAGGCCCUGCUUUUGUGGGGUGCUCGAGUGGCGAACGGGUGAGUAACACGUGAGUAACCUGCCCUUGACUUUGGGAUAACUUCAGGAAACUGGGGCUAAUACCGGAUAGGAGCUCUUGCUGCAUGGUGGGGGUUGGAAAGUUUCGGCGGUUGGGGAUGGACUCGCGGCUUAUCAGCUUGUUGGUGGGGUAGUGGCUUACCAAGGCUUUGACGGGUAGCCGGCCUGAGAGGGUGACCGGCCACAUUGGGACUGAGAUACGGCCCAGACUCCUACGGGAGGCAGCAGUGGGGAAUAUUGCACAAUGGGCGGAAGCCUGAUGCAGCAACGCCGCGUGCGGGAUGACGGCCCUCGGGUUGUAAACCGCUUUCGCCUGUGACGAAGCGUGAGGGACGGUAAUGGGUAAAGAAGCACCGGCUAACUACGU